GGCGUGUACUGCUUGGCUGGGCCUUACUUCUUGGUGAGCCGGCGUGCCCUUUAUUGGUGUGCGUCGGGGAACCAGGACUUUUACCUUGAGAAAAUUAGAGUGUUCAAAGCAGGCCUAUGCCUGAAUACAUUAGCAUGGAAUAAUAGAAUAGGACGUGCGGUUCUAUUUUGUUGGUUUCUAGAGUCGCCGUAAUGAUUAAUAGGGACAGUUGGGGGCAUUGGUAUUGAGUCGCUAGAGGUGAAAUUCUUGGAUUGACUCAAGACCGACUAUUGCGAAAGCAUUUGCCAAGGAUGUUUUCAUUAAUCAAGAACGAAGGUUAGGGGAUCGAAAACGAUCAGAUACCGUUGUAGUCUUAACAGUAAACUAUGCCGACUAGGGAUCGGAUGACCUCAAAAUUGAUGUGUCAUUCGGCACCUUACGGGAAAUCAAAGUCUUUGGGUUCUGGGGGGAGUAUGGUCGCAAGGCUGAAACUUAAAGGAAUUGGCGGAAGGGCACCACCAGGUGUGGAGCCUGCGGCUUAAUUUGACUCAACACGGGGAAACUCACCAGGUCCAGACAUAACUAGGAUUGACAGAUUGAUAGCUCUUUCAUGAUUUUAUGGGUGGUGGUGCAUGGCCGUUCUUAGUUGGUGGAGUGAUUUGUCUGGUUAAUUCCGAUAACGAACGAGACCUUAACCUGCUAAAUAGCCAGGCCGGCUUCGGCUGGUCUCUGGCUUCUUAGAGGGACUGUCAG
RNAcentral lists this ribosomal RNA (732 nucleotides) under uncultured eukaryote. RNAcentral's name for it is "SSU rRNA". It matches the Rfam family "Eukaryotic small subunit ribosomal RNA", at positions 672 to 1426 of the family's 1831-position model. The record is from RNAcentral.